RNAcentral lists this ribosomal RNA (460 nucleotides) under uncultured bacterium. Its description in RNAcentral is "SSU rRNA". It matches the Rfam family "Bacterial small subunit ribosomal RNA", at positions 26 to 518 of the family's 1533-position model. The record is from RNAcentral.
AGAAUCAACGCUGGCGGCGUGCCUAACACAUGCAAGUCGCACGAGAAAGGGUCUUCGGAUCUGAGUAAAGUGGCGCACGGGUGAGUAACACGUGACUAAUCUACCCUCGAGUGGGGAAUAACCUAGGGAAACCUGGGCUAAUACCGCAUAACACUUACGAGUCAAAGCAGCAAUGCGCUUGGGGAGGAGGUCGCGGCAGAUUAGCUAGUUGGCGGGGUAAUGGCCCACCAAGGCAAUGAUCUGUAUCCGGCCUGAGAGGGCGCACGGACACACUGGAACUGAAACACGGUCCAGACUCCUACGGGAGGCAGCAGUGGGGAAUUUUGCGCAAUGGGGGAAACCCUGACGCAGCAACGCCGCGUGGAGGAUGAAGUCUCUUGGGACGUAAACUCCUUUCGAUAGGGAAGAUAAUGACGGUACCUAUAGAAGAAGCCCCGGCUAACUUCGCGCCAGCAGCCGC